ACUUCUUCACUGCUUAGUACUUCGAAGUUACACAAUUUUUUGAAAAUUUAUAACUAGUAUAUAAUUUAUAUAGAUAAUAUUUUUCUUCCUCAGAUGAAAAAAAUAAGUUCAAGACACCUAUCUAGCAAGAAGAAAAAACCUGCCAGUAGGUUGAUGCUCAUAAGACAUGUAGAACACUUUCUAGCCCCCGAUUUGCUCAUGGUGACUGACUGCUGGCAGGAAAUAAACAUUUUUAAGAACCUCACCUUCAAAAUCUCAGAGUCGAGAACUUGGUGAAUAAGCCCUGUGAGUAAAUAGCAUGAAGAUAUUCAAGAGAAAGUGUUCUACUCAUUUCCCAUUUUUUACAAACAUUCAGUUAUGGCUUUUUGCAAUAGAUCCUCAAUUACGUGGUGGAAUAGGGUUUGUAAAAUUUUUUUUUCUAGUUAAUUACAGUCAUACAGGGGUUAACCAGGAACCUAUUUAUAUUCAAGCUCUCUAUUUUUAAACAUUUUUCUAAAAUGUGUUAGGAAACUUUGGCUAUUAUAACACCAAUAAGGAAUGUGAUUCAUUAAGGACAGUGCAUUGACCUGGGUGAAGAUUUUUUUGAAUUUGAAGUUUCAUUUUAGAGGUCUGUGACACAGGCCAUGCCCCAGAAGUUAGAGGAGAGCAGAAAAGUUUUAUCAAAUGACUGAUAUGAAUUUGUUCUGAUGUCAAAUUGAAUUUUUCCUCUAAGUUUAGAGUAAAAAAAAAAAGAAUUUUUAAACUUUAAAUGUAUAUAAUUGAUGGGUUCUGCUUAAUUGAGACUUACUGUAUGUAUUUCUUCUUUUGAAAAUCUUACUUUGAAAAGGAUAGAAGAAUCUGAAAGUAUUCCAGAGCCUUGUAAAAUUCAUGCUUAAUAGUUUGCCUCAUUCAGAUUUAUUUUGAUUGGCGUGCGAUUCCUAUGUUGUGUUCUGAAAUACCCGAAAUCACAACAUCUUGAUAGAGUCUGCUCUAUUUUUGAAUUGUUUUAAAUAGUAACUUAAAAAUUUGCAUUAAUUGAAAAGUACCUUGUCAUAACAUUUGCUUUGUGUCAUGAAAGGUUAUCUAUAUUUGGAAGUAACAUUUUGGUAAAAGGAAGAUUAUGGAAUAUUUAUGAACUUUCUCUCACACAGAUUCGUAGGUUAUUAGAACAGGAUGGAACUUCAGAGCUUUUCAGCCACAGCCUUCUCAGUUUACAGUGAAAGGAAAUGAGGUCCAGAGACAUUAAAUGACUUGCCCAAGGACACACAGCUGAAGAGCUGUAUAAAAUGAACUGUAACCCUGGACUCCUGGUUCCAGGCCAAGAAUUUCUACCAUGGAAAAUUCUCUCCAAUAAACCUGAUAAUAAUUUCAAAAAAUUAUGGUGUAAAGCUGGAAGGGAAUGCAUUUUAUUUUCAGUACACUUCAUUCACUUCAUUAUAGUGAAUUAGAUUUUUUUUUUUUUUUUUUUUUGGUCUUUUUUAGGGCCACAUCUGUGGCAUAUGGCCCUUCCCAGGUUAGGGGUCCAAUGGAAGCUGUAGCCGUAGGCCUAUACCACAGCCACAGCAACUUGUGAUCCAAGCCAUGUCUGCUACCUACACCACAGCUCAUGGCAAUGCUGGAUCCUUAACCUAUUGAGCGAGGCCAGUGAUCGAACCCUCAUCCUCAUGGAUACUAGUUGGAUUCAUUUCCGCUGAGCCACUACGGAAACUAGUUUUUGAAUACACAUAUAUAUGUUUAAUUUUUUUUUUUUUUUUCUAGGGCCACACCUGAGGCAUGUGGAGGUUCCCAUAUGGGGUCGAAUCGGAGCUGCACCUGACAGCCUACAUCAUAGCCACAGCAAUGCGGGAUCCAAGCCCCAUCUGUGACCUACACCACAGUUCACUGCAACGCUGGAUCCUUAACCCACUGAGCGGGGCCAGGAACAAACCCAAGUCCUCGUGGAUGCUAGUCCGGUUUGUUAACCUCUGAGCCACGAUGGAACUCCUGAAUUAACUUCUUCUCAUGACCCAGUUUUAGGACCGUUGCAUCUUCACAAGCUCACUGGCAGGAAUAGGGAUACAGUUGAAAACAAUCAGUUUAAAUUCUUAGAUUAUUUCAGGGUUGUUUUUUUAAUGUUUGAAGAAAGAUGAAAUUAUUGUCGGUUGAUGGCUCUUAAUUUCAAAAUACCAAGAGUUAUAAUUUCAACUUGCAUGCAACUGAAUUUUAUGGUAGAGAACAGAUACUUGUGCACUCCUAAUUUUGUUUUCAUUAAGUUCUUUAGGAACCUUUUAGUGCAUGUAUACGUGGCAAAUAUUUUCACGGUCAUAAUAUUUGGUACAGAACCAAGAGAAACUGUUGAUAAUACUAUUUAUAGUAGUCUGCCUUUAUAAAUCUGUUUACGUAACCAAAAUCAAUAAUAUAACCAACUGGAAUUAACACUGAUUGCCUUCUGGGAGAGACAGACAGAAAAAAGUCACAGCCAGUUGGCAUCAAAUUAUAGCAAGAACUCAGUACCACUGGCCGCAGCUAAUAGAGGUUGCCAGAAAAAGUGCACUUCUGGGCCAUUGGUAUUCACAUGUGCAGCCUGUUUUCAUAUUAUGGAGCCAAAAACUUUUUUUUAAAAUGGCAUUUUAGAAUCCUGAUGAUUUUUUUGGGGGGGGGAAUUUGUAUAAAUAUCAGUCUAUCAGCUGGGAUUAAGACUCUUACAUUACUUCCUUCCUUUCUUUUUUUUUUUUUGGCUUUUGUCUUUUUAUGGCCGCACCCACGGCAUGCGGAGGUUCCCAGACUAGGAGUCCAGUCCAAGCAAUAGCAGCCAGCCUACACCACAGCCAUAGCAACGCGGGAUCCAAGCCCCAUCUGCAACCUACACCACAGGUCGCAGCAAUGCCAGAUCCCCAACCCACUGAGUGAGGCUAGGAAUCCAUGUGGAACCCGAGUCCUCGUGGAUACUAGAUGGGUUCGUUUACCACUGAGCCACGAAAGAAACUCCUACUUCCUUUAUUUCUUAAUUGUCUAUUGAUUACCUACCUGCUCUAAGUACCUAUUAAGUAACUAGUGAAGGCAGGGUGAUCUUUCAAGGCAAAUAAUAUUUUGAGGAUAGUAAUCAGCUCUGUUGUUUAUAUGUGUGUAGUUUUCCUGACUUCCAGGAUACACUCUAAAUUUUUUUAUAAUCUGAAAGCCAGUUUCAAAUUACAGUGUUAGGGAUUCUUUGGUGAUUAGCAUUGCUCAGUAUUUCUUAAUAGCCCAUUUUAAUGCUUCACGUUUCCUUCUAAUUUCCAUUUCUCGGAUAAGUAGUUUUGGGCCACAACCCCCACCUCUUGCCACCUCUCCCACAAUAAGCCAAAUAAAUACGGCUUCUAAUGAUGAUAAUUUGUUUUAAACCACAAGAUAAGUUUUGGGACUUUGUAUAUUUAAUUUACAUUAAGUGCCUAAACUUUUGACUUAAAAAGGCAAGGGAAUAAUCUGCACAUUCACUUAAAAAAUAAUAAUCUGCUGCUCUGCAGUUGCCUUUUGCCAAGGUACGGUACUGUCACUCACCAAUGGAUACUCAGUGUGGAAAUGGGCCUUUUGCCCUCGAGAAAGUCCUACGGCCUUGACUGCAGAGCUGGACAUAUAGAACCAGAAAACAGAGAUUUCGGUCUAUGGUACUGUACUCUGUGUUUCUAGUUAAACUGGAACAAGACAAAACAUUUUAAGAAAUGAUUCUCGUUUGCAGCAACGUGGAUGGAACUAGAGACUCUUAUCCUGAGUGAAGUAAGUUAGAAAGAGAAAGACAACAUAUGAUAUCACUUAUAUCUGGAAUCUAAUAUAUGGCACAAAUGAAUCUCUCCACAGAAAAGAAAAUCAUGGACUUGGAGAACAGACUUUUGGUUGCCAACUGGGAGGGGGAGGGAGCGGGAUGGAUUGGGAAUUUGGGGUUAAUAGAUGCAAACUGUUGCUUUUGGAAUGGAUUGGCAAUGAAAUGCUGCUGUGUAGCACUGGGAACUCUGUCUGAUCACUUAUGAUGGAGCAUGAUAAUGUGAGAAAAAAGAAUGUAUACAUGUAUGUGUAACUGGGUCACCUCUCUGUGCAGUAGAAAAAAAAUUGUAUUGGGGAAAUAACAAUAACCAAAAAAAUUAAAUUAAAAAAAAUAAUGAAAUGAUUCUGCAGAGAUGGGUCCAAAUAUCCAGCCUGGCUUGAAAAUUUUCAUUUCUUAAUUCUCUGGGCAUUUUGCAGUCAGUCAGUUCCAAACACUUGGGAGUUUCAUUUCUCCAUU
RNAcentral lists this long non-coding RNA (4213 nucleotides) under Sus scrofa (pig). RNAcentral's name for it is "lncRNA (ENSSSCG00040023220.1)". Lineage: Eukaryota; Metazoa; Chordata; Mammalia; Artiodactyla; Suidae. The record is from RNAcentral.